This 824-nucleotide ribosomal RNA is filed under the name Streptomycetaceae bacterium MOLA 1492. RNAcentral's name for it is "bacterial SSU rRNA". It matches the Rfam family "Bacterial small subunit ribosomal RNA", at positions 26 to 863 of the family's 1533-position model. The record is from RNAcentral. Lineage: Bacteria; Bacillati; Actinomycetota; Actinomycetes; Kitasatosporales; Streptomycetaceae.
AGGACGAACGCUGGCGGCGUGCUUAACACAUGCAAGUCGAACGAUGAACCGGUUUCGGCCGGGGAUUAGUGGCGAACGGGUGAGUAACACGUGGGCAAUCUGCCCUGCACUCUGGGAUAAGCCCGGGAAACUGGGUCUAAUACCGGAUACGACACUCCGAGGCAUCUCGGGGUGUGGAAAGUUCCGGCGGUGCAGGAUGAGCCCGCGGCCUAUCAGCUUGUUGGUGGGGUAAUGGCCUACCAAGGCGACGACGGGUAGCCGGCCUGAGAGGGUGACCGGCCACACUGGGACUGAGACACGGCCCAGACUCCUACGGGAGGCAGCAGUGGGGAAUAUUGCACAAUGGGCGAAAGCCUGAUGCAGCGACGCCGCGUGAGGGAUGACGGCCUUCGGGUUGUAAACCUCUUUCAGCAGGGAAGAAGCGAAAGUGACGGUACCUGCAGAAGAAGCACCGGCUAACUACGUGCCAGCAGCCGCGGUAAUACGUAGGGUGCGAGCGUUGUCCGGAAUUAUUGGGCGUAAAGAGCUCGUAGGCGGUUUGUCGCGUCGAUUGUGAAAGCCCGGGGCUUAACCCUGGGUCUGCAGUCGAUACGGGCAGGCUAGAGUUCGGCAGGGGAGACUGGAAUUCCUGGUGUAGCGGUGAAAUGCGCAGAUAUCAGGAGGAACACCGGUGGCGAAGGCGGGUCUCUGGGCCGAUACUGACGCUGAGGAGCGAAAGCGUGGGGAGCGAACAGGAUUAGAUACCCUGGUAGUCCACGCCGUAAACGGUGGGCACUAGGUGUGGGCAACAUUCCACGUUGUCCGUGCCGCAGCUAACGCAUUAA